This is a non-coding RNA of Camellia sinensis, 844 nucleotides long. Lineage: Eukaryota; Viridiplantae; Streptophyta; Magnoliopsida; Ericales; Theaceae. The record is from RefSeq and is a predicted model, not a curated record.
GGCCAUUGAUAAAUUUAGUCGCUUCACUAACCAUCCGUGUAUAUAUGUCCUCUUCUAUUCAUUAUUACAAUUUGCAAGAUCUGCAGAUAGGUGAGCAAAAAGCUAAGACAUUAAGCUCUUUAAAGCUGAAGAAAAUUGAUGUGGAAAUUCUUGUGAAUCUUGUUGGUGACAAGGAAAGAUAUUUAAAAUCUCACAUGGUGCUAAAAUCUUGGGAUCUUAGAGAAUUUUCUUUUCCGUACACCCUUCAUCCAAAGUUGGAUAUCUCUAUCUCACCAUGACUCCGGAUUGAAUAAGAUUGAUGGUGUUGAAAUUUUAUCGUUCAUAUCUAGAUCGGGUUAUUCUCGACAUUGUUUGAGAGGUAUACGGCGUGAAGUGGAUCAUUCGCUUGGCAGCAACAAGAUACAGAUUGAAAAUGCAAGCCGUACUGGAUAAAAUUGUAGAAGCAAUAGUUGAGCCAGUGAUCCAGUUAGUGGUGGUCCAUGUUGGUUUUGUUUUUCAGCACAAGAAGCAGCUGAAGAACCUGGAAAUUGAAAUUAAAAACCUUGAAGAGCAGAGAAAAAAAAUCAAAAAAGAAGUUGAUGAAGCCAUUACUCGUGGUGAAGUAGUUGAUGAACCUGCUUCAAUCUGGCUAGCAGAGGUGGAAAAAAGAGUUCAGAAAAUUCAGGAUGACAAUACUAUUAACGAAAACAGGCAGUGCUUUAAACUCUCGUGUCCAGAUUACAUCUCGCGCUACCGAAUGAGCAAGGAAGCUGAACACAAGAUUGAAGAAGUAAAAAAUCUCACUAAGAGUGGCAAUUUUAGCCCUGUUGUACAUAGUAAGAAAAAUGAAAAAGAAAAACAGAAA